Molecule: non-coding RNA, 72 nt
Organism: Podarcis lilfordi (Lilford's wall lizard)
Lineage: Eukaryota; Metazoa; Chordata; Lepidosauria; Squamata; Lacertidae
Source: the annotation of a GenBank genome assembly
GCCAGUGUGGUGCAGUGUUUAGGGCGCCGGACUAGGACCUGGGAGACCUGGGUUCGAAUCCCCGCUCCGUCC